UACGGAGGGUGCAACCGUUGCUCGGAAUCAUUGGGCGUAAAGCGCACGUAGGCGGCCUGUUAAGUCGGGUGUGAAAGCCCUGGGCUCAACCCAGGAAGUGCACUCGAAACUGGCAGGCUUGAAUAUGGAAGAGGGUUGCGGAAUUCCCGGUGUAGAGGUGAAAUUCGUAGAUAUCGGGAGGAACACCAGUGGCGAAGGCGGCGACCUGGGCCAAUAUUGACGCUGAGGUGCGAAAGCGUGGGGAGCAAACAGG
RNAcentral lists this ribosomal RNA (253 nucleotides) under uncultured bacterium. RNAcentral's name for it is "partial 16S ribosomal RNA". It matches the Rfam family "Bacterial small subunit ribosomal RNA", at positions 524 to 776 of the family's 1533-position model. The record is from RNAcentral.